This is a non-coding RNA of Vicia faba (fava bean), 324 nucleotides long. NCBI's taxonomy places the organism in Eukaryota, Viridiplantae, Streptophyta, Magnoliopsida, Fabales, Fabaceae. The record is from the annotation of a GenBank genome assembly.
CUGUUCGGAGCAACAAACAAAACGACCAAAUCCUUUUCCUCGAUUUUUCCAAAUACACACGACACAACAAACAUGUUUAUGUCUAUGUUCAGCCACUUGGAUAUCUCGCAAGGCAAGAAAUGGAGCUUCUCAUUUGGUUCGGGCCCGGUAAAGGAUUCAAAUCCAAAGUCCAAUGAAGAAGCAACUUCUUCAUCCAAAACCACCGUCAAAGAUCCGAAAACAUUAAUGCCCGGCGGAGAGAAUAAAAACCCGACCCGUUUGAGAACAAGAUAUGCACCGGAGUUUGAUGUAAACUGCUUUGAAUGCAUUGUACCUUCUGUCUGA